Long non-coding RNA from Mustela lutreola (European mink), 490 nucleotides. RefSeq lists it as uncharacterized. The record is from RefSeq and is a predicted model, not a curated record. Lineage: Eukaryota; Metazoa; Chordata; Mammalia; Carnivora; Mustelidae. The transcript has 3 exons.
CUCCCGGACCCUCCCCCGCAACGGCUCCCAGCUUCCGUUGAGGCUGCCCGCGGGAGAAGGCGCGCCUGCGCGGGCUCGGGGGCGGGGUCGCUAACGGUCCUGCGGCCGGGGGCGGGGCCGCGCGUGGCCACCUGGUGCUGGCGCGAGCUGGGCUUGAUGCGGGCGCGCGCUCCCGGGCGUGCAGGGCUGGCGGCCCGCGGUCCGUGGUGUUCCUGCUUCGCCUUGUGUGCGCCCUUGAGGAGUGGCCCGCGGGGACCGGAGUCCCGGCCGACCCGUGUCUGAGCCUCGCGGCAUGCUGAGGUGGAGCUGCAAACCCACCAGCCACGUGAUGAGCAUGGCCACCAGCUGGCCACAUAGCUGCCUCCUGCCUCCCACCUCCCUUGGACCCACCCAGCAUUUGUGGGCCUUCCUUAUGAAUGGAGCUCUGCCUGCUUUUCUACGUUAAAGAGUAUUCUGAAGAGAAUGCAAUAUAUGUACAAGGUAUACGUUC